This 646-nucleotide ribosomal RNA is filed under the name Nocardiopsis sp. XJ 11089. Its description in RNAcentral is "bacterial SSU rRNA". It matches the Rfam family "Bacterial small subunit ribosomal RNA", at positions 46 to 696 of the family's 1533-position model. Lineage: Bacteria; Bacillati; Actinomycetota; Actinomycetes; Streptosporangiales; Nocardiopsidaceae. The record is from RNAcentral.
GCUUAACACAUGCAAGUCGAGCGGUAAGGCCCUUCGGGGUACACGAGCGGCGAACGGGUGAGUAACACGUGAGCAACCUGCCCCUGACUCCGGGAUAAGCGGUGGAAACGCCGUCUAAUACCGGAUACGACCCGCCACCUCAUGGUGGAGGGUGGAAAGUUUUUCGGUCAGGGAUGGGCUCGCGGCCUAUCAGCUUGUUGGUGGGGUAACGGCCUACCAAGGCGAUUACGGGUAGCCGGCCUGAGAGGGCGACCGGCCACACUGGGACUGAGACACGGCCCAGACUCCUGCGGGAGGCAGCAGUGGGGAAUAUUGCGCAAUGGGCGAAAGCCUGACGCAGCGACGCCGCGUGGGGGAUGACGGCCUUCGGGUUGUAAACCUCUUUUACCACCAACGCAGGCUCCCAGUUCUCUGGGGGUUGACGGUAGGUGGGGAAUAAGGACCGGCUAACUACGUGCCAGCAGCCGCGGUAAUACGUAGGGUCCGAGCGUUGUCCGGAAUUAUUGGGCGUAAAGAGCUCGUAGGCGGCGUGUCGCGUCUGCUGUGAAAGACCGGGGCUUAACUCCGGUUCUGCAGUGGAUACGGGCAUGCUAGAGGUAGGUAGGGGAGACUGGAAUUCCUGGUGUAGCGGUGAAAUGCGCAGAUA